UUGUGCUUAGUUAGUCUCUCUUUUCAAUUGUUCCAAUCGGAAAUCUUUAUCACAAAUAAACUAAUUUUAAACCAAUCUAUUUCUUUACAUGUACAGAGAAAGUAGGAGUGCACCAGAUUAUAAGCAGUUGCAUGUCUUCUGGAACCCUAUUUUUUAUAAAAUAAAAUUAUAAAUUGACUCAUAUACAAGUCUAUCAAACAUAUUUUUCAAAUAUGUAGGGUUGAUGCAAAUAUUGUUUUAAAUACUAACCUCUUCAUCAGCAACGAUACACUCAACUUGGUGUUCACCAGUCUUGUCUUUCACGACCCAUGGUUUGUAAAUUAACACUCAGAUAACCUUUUGUCCCAUGAAAUUAAUUCACACACCAAAUCAUAGUAAAACAUCGUCCAGGAAACAAUUUCUUUCUCUGUGUUUUUUUUUUUUCUUUUGUUAUG
RNAcentral lists this long non-coding RNA (434 nucleotides) under Eutrema salsugineum. RNAcentral's name for it is "long non-coding RNA (ESAL_LNC001312)". Lineage: Eukaryota; Viridiplantae; Streptophyta; Magnoliopsida; Brassicales; Brassicaceae. The record is from RNAcentral.